AUAGUCGUUCGUGUUUUCUCCUCUCUCAUUCGUGUUUUCACCCUUCUCCAUCAUGUUUUCCGUGCGCUGUUUCUCGUGUUUUUUUCGCGCUGCUUCAUAUGCCCUAACUCCUCCUCCGCCUCACCUGCUUCAUAUGCCCUAACUCCUCCUCCGCCUCACCUGCUUCAAGCUUCUCUCUAUUCUUCUUCUAUUCUCCUUCUUCUCUACUUCUAUUUUCUGCUUUUCUAUCUUGUUCUCUAUCCUGUUAUUCUCUAUUCAUUAUUUUUCCAUUCGUUUCCUAAGUUGUUUUUUCUUUCAUAUCAUUGCUUUUUUUUUUUCUUUUUAAAUAUAUUGAUUAUGGGAUUGAUAUAGGUAGAUUAUUCAUAUAGUUAGUCCAUAACGUUGUUUAAUCUACAUUAAAUAUAUAGGUAGAUUAUUCAUAUAAUUAGUCAAAAAAGUUAUCCCGCUAUCUCAUUUUUGGGAUCGGCCGCUCCGCUCUGUUCUCCGGGAUUAAUAACUCUGUUAUAUUUGCAAACUAGAAAUACUCCUUCUGGUCCUAUUUAUAAGAAACAAUUUAUUUGUAAGUUAUAUUUUAUGUCUCUGCCAAAUGCCGGCGCACAAAGUCUUUACUUCUUGGUGUUUGUACUUUAAUUCGGAGGAAACCGUAAGUGUUAUUGCUAGAAUUUUUUCCCGUAUUCGCUUUUCCAGAACCAACGAUCUUUGU
RNAcentral lists this long non-coding RNA (703 nucleotides) under Lathyrus oleraceus (garden pea). RNAcentral describes it as "Pisum sativum (pea) long non-coding RNA (PSAT_LNC021734)". Lineage: Eukaryota; Viridiplantae; Streptophyta; Magnoliopsida; Fabales; Fabaceae. The record is from RNAcentral.